GAAUUGCGAUAAGUAAUGUGAAUUGCAGAUUUCCAGUGAAUCAUCGAAUCUUUGAACGCACCUUGCGCUCCUUGGUAUUCCAAGGAGCAUGCCUGUUUGAGUGUCAUUGAAUUCUCAACCAAUGUCUUGAUUGAUGUUGGCUUGGAGUUGGGAGUUGCUGGCAAUCUCUUUUGUCAGCUCUCCUGAAAUGUAUUAGCAAUCGGAUAGCUAGUCUUUGAUGUGCACGGCCUUCGACGUGAUAAUGAUCGUCGUGGCUGGAGCGUCUUUGAACCGUGCAUGAAUAGCCUAUUGCUUAUAAUAACCAACAUUUUCGAAACUUGACCUCAAAUCAGGUAGGACUACCCGCUGAACUUAA
This 355-nucleotide ribosomal RNA is filed under the name Aureoboletus longicollis. Its description in RNAcentral is "eukaryotic LSU rRNA". The stretch from base 1 to 106 matches the Rfam family "5.8S ribosomal RNA", at positions 50 to 154 of the family's 154-position model. Lineage: Eukaryota; Fungi; Basidiomycota; Agaricomycetes; Boletales; Boletaceae. The record is from RNAcentral.